This is a long non-coding RNA of Benincasa hispida (wax gourd), 787 nucleotides long. RefSeq lists it as uncharacterized. NCBI's taxonomy places the organism in Eukaryota, Viridiplantae, Streptophyta, Magnoliopsida, Cucurbitales, Cucurbitaceae. The record is from RefSeq and is a predicted model, not a curated record.
GAACCUCGGUUUGCGUGCAAGAAAGAAAAAAAUCCUUUUUUCUUUUUUUAUUUUUUUCUUCCUUCUUCUAGCCCUCACGAUCCCCUUCACAGUGCUUUUUCCGCCGCCCCCUUCUUAUGCCUCAGCCCAGCGCGCCUCAUCGUCGUCAGUCGUCGCCGCCCUCUAGGGUUUUCUUUUUCUCUUCUUUUCCGGCCAACCUCCUGCUUCCAGCUGUACGAGGAGCUGUGCUCAUCUUCGCCGUCGACCAAGCCCGCGCCUGCCGAAUCCGCCAAAGUCGCGAUCCUACUGUGCUCUCACCGGUCUAUCAACCUAAAACGACGAUCGAAUAGCCGAAGUCGUGACUCAGAGCCACCUCUCUCUCUCUCUCUCUGUUGCGCCGUCCUCUUUGUUCGCCAGCCGCCGAUCUAAACCCAAGCGCUGUCCGUCAGUCUUGGCGCGGUCGGUUCUAGUUACUGUUGAAUCGUGGUGGUUCCAUCCGAUCUGUCUGUUAAGGAAUGUGUGGCGGUGAAGGAAGUUUUCAAGUUUUCAAGUAGAGUAAGGAUUUGUUUUGGGACGGUUCGUUAUCCCGAGGUAAGUGGUUUACUGCCGGUAUUGCUCUAAGAUCUUGAUAGGCCGGCUAGUUAGAAGGAAAAUUUUUAUGUCACUGUAUGUAUGAGUAAAAUGUGCUAAAGUUUGAUGUAUGGGUAACUGUGAUAAAGUUUGAUGUAUGGGUAACUGUGAUAAAGUUUGAUGUAUGGGUAACUGUGAUAAAGUUUGAUGUUGAUUUAUGGCCUUGAUUGCAUGCUUA